GACGAACCGUGCAAACGUUAUUCGGAAUCACUGGGCGUAAAGGGCGCGUAGGCGGCUUCAUAAGUCAGGGGUGAAAUCCGGCAGCUCAACUGUCGCAGUGCCUUUGAUACUGUGGAGCUAGAGGGAGGUAGGGGUCUGUGGAACUUCCGGUGGAGCGGUGAAAUGCGUUGAUAUCGGGAGGAACGCCGGUGGCGAAAGCGACGGACUGGAUCUCUUCUGACGCUGAGGCGCGAAAGCCAGGGGAGCAAACGGG
This 253-nucleotide ribosomal RNA is filed under the name uncultured bacterium. Its description in RNAcentral is "partial 16S ribosomal RNA". It matches the Rfam family "Bacterial small subunit ribosomal RNA", at positions 524 to 776 of the family's 1533-position model. The record is from RNAcentral.